RNAcentral lists this long non-coding RNA (348 nucleotides) under Vitis vinifera (wine grape). RNAcentral describes it as "long non-coding RNA (VVIN_LNC002055)". Lineage: Eukaryota; Viridiplantae; Streptophyta; Magnoliopsida; Vitales; Vitaceae. The record is from RNAcentral.
GGACAUGGAAUCAUAUCUCUAUACCCACAAGGGUCCCAUCUCUCUCAAUAUAGAAAAAAAAAUUGUCCAUCCCUCAAUCAAAACUUUGCCCCCAAUGAAAAGCAAUGGAGCAUCUUUUACACCAUUUUGCAGCCAGUAAACAAAGCAGAGGUGAAUCUUGAACCCCAUGCAACAUUUUGAACCAGCAUGCGAAGUCGAGGUGAAUCUUGAAUUGAAUCUAAAAGGCCUACAAUGGCGUACUAGCUGGUGGGGCAUGUUAUCAUCGCUUCAGAUUGUUCGUCUUUUUUAUAGUUUUGCCACCCAUGCCUUUACUCUUCUUGGUAUUCUGUUUUUUCCCGCCCUGCCCAU